CCUACGGGAGGCAGCAGUGAGGAAUUUUGCGCAAUGGGCGAAAGCCUGACGCAGCGACGCCGCGUGGAGGAUGACGGCCUUCGGGUUGUAAACUCCUGUCAGAGGUGAAGAAUCCCCGCAAGGGGUUGACGGUAACCUCAAAGGAAGCCCCGGCUAACUACGUGCCAGCAGCCGCGGUAAUACGUAGGGGGCAAACGUUACUCGGAAUUACUGGGCGUAAAGGGUGUGUAGGCGGCUGAGCAAGUCAAAGAUGAAAUCCCGAGGCUCAACUUCGGAAUCG
Molecule: ribosomal RNA, 280 nt
Filed under: uncultured bacterium
Lineage: Bacteria
Description: partial 16S ribosomal RNA
Rfam family: Bacterial small subunit ribosomal RNA
Source: RNAcentral